This is a long non-coding RNA of Sardina pilchardus (European sardine), 337 nucleotides long. RefSeq lists it as uncharacterized. The record is from RefSeq and is a predicted model, not a curated record. Lineage: Eukaryota; Metazoa; Chordata; Actinopteri; Clupeiformes; Clupeidae. The transcript has 3 exons.
CAUAGAUUUGAGUGAUACAGGAGCCCUUCCAACUAAAAGUCCUGAUCCAAGUCAUGUUGUUGGUCUGCUGAUGAAGGUCUCUGCUGUUGAGAAUUUGAAUGAAACUGAGAUUGAGGAGCAGAUACUGAAGCCAUUUGGAGAAACCCUGAGAGCACAAGGACUAAAUGUUACUGGGAUCCGGUUGAGAAGAGUUCAUCAGGCUGGACCUUAGAGGAACAGAGGAGGAACGUGAAGCCCGAUGCCCACUGCAGAGAAUAUAUGGAGACGUAAACAUGAGAUUACAUUAUUACUCUGUGUGGGAUUACAUGAGAACAUGAGAUUACAUUAUUAUUCUGUG